AACGAACGCUGGCGGCAUGCCUAACACAUGCAAGUCGAACGAGAUCUUCGGGUCUAGUGGCGCACGGGUGCGUAACGCGUGGGACUCUGCCCUUUGGUUCGGAAUAACAGUUGGAAACGACUGCUAAUACCGGAUGAUGACGAAAGUCCAAAGAUUUAUCGCCAGAGGAUGAGCCCGCGUAGGAUUAGCUAGUGGGUGUGGUAAAGGCGCACCAAGGCGACGAUCCUUAGCUGGUCUGAGAGGAUGAUCAGCCACACUGGGACUGAGACACGGCCCAGACUCCUACGGGAGGCAGCAGUGGGGAAUAUUGGACAAUGGGCGAAAGCCUGAUCCAGCAAUGCCGCGUGAGUGAUGAAGGCCUUAGGGUUGUAAAGCUCUUUUACCCGGGACGAUAAUGACAGUACCGGGAGAAUAAGCUCCGGCUAACUCCGUGCCAGCCGCCGCCGUAA
RNAcentral lists this ribosomal RNA (449 nucleotides) under uncultured bacterium. RNAcentral describes it as "partial 16S ribosomal RNA". It matches the Rfam family "Bacterial small subunit ribosomal RNA", at positions 29 to 523 of the family's 1533-position model. The record is from RNAcentral.